This 511-nucleotide ribosomal RNA is filed under the name Bombyx mori (domestic silkworm). Its description in RNAcentral is "partial large subunit ribosomal RNA". Lineage: Eukaryota; Metazoa; Arthropoda; Insecta; Lepidoptera; Bombycidae. The record is from RNAcentral.
GUCUUUUUGUUAAUAAUUUAAAGUCUAAUCUGCCCACUGAUAUAUUUAUUAAAGGGCUGCAGUAUUUUGACUGUACAAAGGUAGCAUAAUCAUUAGUCUUUUAAUUGGUGACUUGUAUGAAAGAUUGGAUGAAAUAUAAACUGUCUCUUUUAUAAAAAAAAAAUUGAAUUUAAUUUUUUAAUUAAAAAGUUAAAAUUAUUUAAAAAGACGAGAAGACCCUAUAGAGUUCUAUAAUUUAUUUUGUAAAUAUUUUUAUUUUUAUAUUUUUAUAAUUUUAAAUUAUUUUGUUGGGGUGAUAAAAAAAUUUAAUUAACUUUUUUUAAUAGUUUACAUUAAUAAGUGAUUAAAUGAUCCAAUUUUAUUGAUUAAAAGAAAAAAUUACCUUAGGGAUAACAGCGUAAUUUUUUUUUUAGUUCAAAUAAAAAGAAAAGUUUGCGACCUCGAUGUUGGAUUAAGAUAAAAUUUAAAUGUAGAAGUUUAAAAUUUUGAUCUGUUCGAUCAUUAAAAUCUU